UACGGGGGGGGCAAGCGUUGUUCGGAAUUACUGGGCGUAAAGGGCUCGUAGGCGGCCGACUAAGUCAUACGUGAAAUCCCUCGGCUUAACCGGGGAACUGCGUCUGAUACUGGAUGGCUUGAGUUCGGGAGAGGGAUGCGGAAUUCCAGGUGUAGCGGUGAAAUGCGUAGAUAUCUGGAGGAACACCGGUGGCGAAGGCGGCAUCCUGGACCGAUACUGACGCUGAGGAGCGAAAGCCAGGGGAGCAAACGGG
RNAcentral lists this ribosomal RNA (253 nucleotides) under uncultured bacterium. RNAcentral's name for it is "partial 16S ribosomal RNA". It matches the Rfam family "Bacterial small subunit ribosomal RNA", at positions 524 to 776 of the family's 1533-position model. The record is from RNAcentral.